GUAGUAAUAGAUUACUCUGGUUCAACAGUUAGUAAUGGAUUAUUCUUGUUCAUCAGGUAGUAAUAGAUUACUCUGGUUCAUCAGGUAGUAAUAGAUUACUCUGGUUCAUCAGGUAGUAAUAGAUUACUCUGGUUCAUCAGGUAGUAAUACAUUACUCUGGUUCAUCAGGUAGUAAUAGAUUACUUUGGUUCAUCAGGUAGUAAUAGAUUACUCUGGUUCAUCAGGUAGUAAUAGAUUACUCUGUUUUAUCAGGUAGUAAUGGAUUACUCUGGUUCAUCAGGUAGUAAUAGAUUACUCAUGUAUUUUAAACUCAGUCGG
Etheostoma cragini (Arkansas darter) is the source of this 318-nucleotide long non-coding RNA. RefSeq lists it as uncharacterized. The record is from RefSeq and is a predicted model, not a curated record. The transcript has 3 exons. Lineage: Eukaryota; Metazoa; Chordata; Actinopteri; Perciformes; Percidae.